GAUGAACGCUGGCGGCGUGCCUAAUACAUGCAAGUCGAGCGAACGGACGAGAAGCUUGCUUCUCUGAUGUUAGCGGCGGACGGGUGAGUAACACGUGGAUAACCUACCUAUAAGACUGGGAUAACUUCGGGAAACCGUAGCUAAUACCGGAUAAUAUCUUGAACCGCAUGGUUCAAAAGUGAAAGACGGUCUUGCUGUCACUUAUAGAUGGAUCCGCGCUGCAUUAGCUAGUUGGUAAGGUAACGGCUUACCAAGGCAACGAUGCAUAGCCGACCUGAGAGGGUGAGCGGCCACACUGGAACUGAGACACGGUCCAGACUCCGACGGGAGGCAGCAGUAGGGAAUCGUCCGCAAUGGGCGAAAGCCUGACGGAGCAACGCCGCGUGAGUGAUGAAGGUCUUCGGAUCGUAAAACUCUGUUAUUAGGGAAGAACAUAUGUGUAAGUAACUGUGCACAUCUUGACGGUACCUAAUCAGAAAGCCACGGCUAACUACGUG
This 497-nucleotide ribosomal RNA is filed under the name uncultured bacterium. Its description in RNAcentral is "partial 16S ribosomal RNA". It matches the Rfam family "Bacterial small subunit ribosomal RNA", at positions 28 to 507 of the family's 1533-position model. The record is from RNAcentral.